AGCAGCCGCGGUAAUUCCAGCUCCAAUAGCGUAUAUUAAAGUUGUUGCAGUUAAAAAGCUCGUAGUUGAAUUUCGGGGUUCUACCGUUGGUCGGGCUUUGUCUGUACUGGCGUGUAGAAUUUCUACCUUCUGGGGAACCAUCAUGUUAUUAAUUUAACGUGGUGGGAAACCAGGACCUUUACCUUGAAAAAUUAGAGUGUUCAAAGCAGGCUUAUGUCUGAAUACAUUAGCAUGGAAUAAUAGAAUAGGACGGUGGUCCUGUUUUGUUGGUUUCUGAAUCACCGUAAUGAUUAAUAGGGAUAGUUGGGGGCAUUAGUAUUCAAUUGUCAGAGGUGAAAUUCUUGGAUUUAUUGAAGACUAACUUCUGCGAAAGCAUUUGCCAAGGAUGUUUUCAUUAAUCAAGAACGAAAGUUAGGGGAUCGAAGACGAUCAGAUACCGUCGUAGUCUUAACCAUAAACUAUGCCGACUAGGGAUCGGACGAUGUUAAUUUUUCUUGACUCGUUCGGCGCCUUACGGGAA
RNAcentral lists this unclassified non-coding RNA (520 nucleotides) under uncultured Scutellospora. Its description in RNAcentral is "SSU rRNA". It matches the Rfam family "Eukaryotic small subunit ribosomal RNA", at positions 569 to 1096 of the family's 1831-position model. The record is from RNAcentral. Lineage: Eukaryota; Fungi; Glomeromycota; Glomeromycetes; Diversisporales; Gigasporaceae.